RNAcentral lists this ribosomal RNA (424 nucleotides) under Fusobacteriota bacterium. RNAcentral describes it as "Fusobacteria bacterium partial 16S ribosomal RNA". It matches the Rfam family "Bacterial small subunit ribosomal RNA", at positions 355 to 776 of the family's 1533-position model. The record is from RNAcentral. Lineage: Bacteria; Fusobacteriati; Fusobacteriota.
UGAGGAAUAUUGGUCAAUGGGCGAGAGCCUGAACCAGCCAAGUAGCGUGCAGGAUGACGGCCCUAUGGGUUGUAAACUGCUUUUAUGUGGGGAUAAAGUGCGUGACGUGUCAUGCAUUGCAGGUACCACAUGAAUAAGGACCGGCUAAUUCCGUGCCAGCAGCCGCGGUAAUACGGAAGGUCCGGGCGUUAUCCGGAUUUAUUGGGUUUAAAGGGAGCGUAGGCUGUCUAUUAAGCGUGUUGUGAAAUUUACCGGCUCAACCGGUGGCUUGUAGCGCGAACUGGUCGACUUGAGUAUGCAGGAAGUAGGCGGAAUUCAUGGUGUAGCGGUGAAAUGCUUAGAUAUCAUGACGAACUCCGAUUGCGCAGGCAGCUUACUGUAGCAUAACUGACGCUGAUGCUCGAAAGUGCGGGUAUCAAACAGG